RNAcentral lists this transfer RNA (75 nucleotides) under Cordylochernes scorpioides. RNAcentral's name for it is "tRNA-Thr". It matches the Rfam family "tRNA". Rfam says of the family: Transfer RNA (tRNA) molecules are approximately 80 nucleotides in length. Their secondary structure includes four short double-helical elements and three loops (D, anti-codon, and T loops). Lineage: Eukaryota; Metazoa; Arthropoda; Arachnida; Pseudoscorpiones; Chernetidae. The record is from RNAcentral.
GUCCAGGGUAGCCUAGUGGACAUGGCAUCUGCCCGGUAAGCGGAACAAUGUGGGUUCGAUUCCCAUCCCUGGGCA